This 147-nucleotide small RNA is filed under the name Sinorhizobium meliloti 2011. RNAcentral's name for it is "putative ncRNA". The record is from RNAcentral. Lineage: Bacteria; Pseudomonadati; Pseudomonadota; Alphaproteobacteria; Hyphomicrobiales; Rhizobiaceae.
AGCAUCGGGCGAUCUGCUCGAAGUCGUAUUGGGGAUUGGCCCUUCCCUCGACGUGAGCGGCAAAACUACGUGUUUGCCUCGCCCGCGCAUAGGAUAUCGCCUGCCUCAGCGUAUCCCUGCGCCGCAGGAAUACGAGCGCAACGUCAU